CUGGCGGCGUGCCUAAUACAUGCAAGUCGAACGAGUUCUCGUUGAUGAUCGGUGCUUGCACCGAGAUUCAACAUGGAACGAGUGGCGGACGGGUGAGUAACACGUGGGUAACCUGCCCUUAAGUGGGGGAUAACAUUUGGAAACAGAUGCUAAUACCGCAUAGAUCCAAGAACCGCAUGGUUCUUGGCUGAAAGAUGGCGUAAGCUAUCGCUUUUGGAUGGACCCGCGGCGUAUUAGCUAGUUGGUGAGGUAAUGGCUCACCAAGGCGAUGAUACGUAGCCGAACUGAGAGGUUGAUCGGCCACAUUGGGACUGAGACACGGCCCAAACUCCUACGGGAGGCAGCAGUAGGGAAUCUUCCACAAUGGACGCAAGUCUGAUGGAGCAACGCCGCGUGAGUGAAGAAGGCUUUCGGGUCGUAAAACUCUGUUGUUGGAGAAGAAUGGUCGGCAGAGUAACUGUUGUCGGCGUGACGGUAUCCAACCAGAAAGCCACGGCUAACUACGUGCCAGCAGCCGCGGUAAUACGUAGGUGGCAAGCGUUAUCCGGAUUUAUUGGGCGUAAAGCGAGCGCAGGCGGUUUUUUAAGUCUGAUGUGAAAGCCCUCGGCUUAACCGAGGAAGCGCAUCGGAAACUGGGAAACUUGAGUGCAGAAGAGGACAGUGGAACUCCAUGUGUAGCGGUGAAAUGCGUAGAUAUAUGGAAGAACACCAGUGGCGAAGGCGGCUGUCUGGUCUGUAACUGACGCUGAGGCUCGAAAGCAUGGGUAGCGAACAGGAUUAGAUACCCUGGUAGUCCAUGCCGUAAACGAUGAAUGCUAGGUGUUGGAGGGUUUCCGCCCUUCAGUGCCGCAGCUAACGCAUUAAGCAUUCCGCCUGGGGAGUACGACCGCAAGGUUGAAACUCAAAGGAAUUGACGGGGGCCCGCACAAGCGGUGGAGCAUGUGGUUUAAUUCGAAGCAACGCGAAGAACCUUACCAGGUCUUGACAUCUUUUGAUCACCUGAGAGAUCAGGUUUCCCCUUCGGGGGCAAAAUGACAGGUGGUGCAUGGUUGUCGUCAGCUCGUGUCGUGAGAUGUUGGGUUAAGUCCCGCAACGAGCGCAACCCUUAUGACUAGUUGCCAGCAUUUAGUUGGGCACUCUAGUAAGACUGCCGGUGACAAACCGGAGGAAGGUGGGGAUGACGUCAAAUCAUCAUGCCCCUUAUGACCUGGGCUACACACGUGCUACAAUGGAUGGUACAACGAGUUGCGAGACCGCGAGGUCAAGCUAAUCUCUUAAAGCCAUUCUCAGUUCGGACUGUAGGCUGCAACUCGCCUACACGAAGUCGGAAUCGCUAGUAAUCGCGGAUCAGCACGCCGCGGUGAAUACGUUCCCGGGCCUUGUACACACCGCCCGUCACACCAUGAGAGUUUGUAACACCCGAAGCCGGUGGCGUAACCCUUUUAGGGAGCGAGCCGUCUAAGGUGGACAAAUGAUUAG
RNAcentral lists this ribosomal RNA (1479 nucleotides) under Lacticaseibacillus paracasei. Its description in RNAcentral is "bacterial SSU rRNA". It matches the Rfam family "Bacterial small subunit ribosomal RNA". The record is from RNAcentral. Lineage: Bacteria; Bacillati; Bacillota; Bacilli; Lactobacillales; Lactobacillaceae.